CAUAAGUAACGAUAAAGCGGGUGAAAAGCCCGCUCGCCGGAAGACCAAGGGUUCCUGUCCAACGUUAAUCGGGGCAGGGUGAGUCGACCCCUAAGGCGAGGCCGAAAGGCGUAGUCGAUGGGAAACGGGUUAAUAUUCCCGUACUUGGUGUUACUGCGAAGGGGGGACGGAGAAGGCUAUGUUGGCCGGGCGACGGUUGUCCCGGUUUAAGCGUGUAGGUGUGUGUUCCAGGUAAAUCCGGUUCACUUUAACACUGAGGCGUGAUGACGAGGCACUACGGUGCUGAAGCAACAAAUGCCCUGCUUCCAGGAAAAGCCUCUAAGCAUCAGGUAACAUCAAAUCGUACCCCAAACCGACACAGGUGGUCAGGUAGAGAAUACCAAGGCGCUUGAGAGAACUCGGGUGAAGGAACUAGGCAAAAUGGUGCCGUAACUUCGGGAGAAGGCACGCUGACACGUAGGUGAAGUGAUUUACUCAUGGAGCUGAAGUCAGUCGAAGAUACCAGCUGGCUGCAACUGUUUAUUAAAAACACAGCACUGUGCAAACACGAAAGUGGACGUAUACGGUGUGACGCCUGCCCGGUGCCGGAAGGUUAAUUGAUGGGGUCAGCGCAAGCGAAGCUCCUGAUCGAAGCCCCGGUAAACGGCGGCCGUAACUAUAACGGUCCUAAGGUAGCGAAAUUCCUUGUCGGGUAAGUUCCGACCUGCACGAAUGGCGUAAUGAUGGCCAGGCUGUCUCCACCCGAGACUCAGUGAAAUUGAACUCGCUGUGAAGAUGCAGUGUACCCGCGGCAAGACGGAAAGACCCCGUGAACCUUUACUAUAGCUUGACACUGAACAUUGAGCCUUGAUGUGUAGGAUAGGUGGGAGGCUUUGAAGUGUGGACGCCAGUCUGCAUGGAGCCGGCCUUGAAAUACCACCCUUUAAUGUUUGAUGUUCUAACGUGGACCCGUGAUCCGGGUUGCGGACAGUGUCUGGUGGGUAGUUUGACUGGGGCGGUCUCCUCCUAAAGAGUAACGGAGGAGCACGAAGGUUGGCUAAUCCUGGUCGGACAUCAGGAGGUUAGUGCAAUGGCAUAAGCCAGCUUGACUGCGAGCGUGACGGCGCGAGCAGGUGCGAAAGCAGGUCAUAGUGAUCCGGUGGUUCUGAAUGGAAGGGCCAUCGCUCAACGGAUAAAAGGUACUCCGGGGAUAACAGGCUGAUACCGCCCAAGAGUUCAUAUCGACGGCGGUGUUUGGCACCUCGAUGUCGGCUCAUCACAUCCUGGGGCUGAAGUAGGUCCCAAGGGUAUGGCUGUUCGCCAUUUAAAGUGGUACGCGAGCUGGGUUUAGAACGUCGUGAGACAGUUCGGUCCCUAUCUGCCGUGGGCGCUGGAGAACUGAGGGGGGCUGCUCCUAGUACGAGAGGACCGGAGUGGACGCAUCACUGGUGUUCGGGUUGUCAUGCCAAUGGCACUGCCCGGUAGCUAAAUGCGGAAGAGAUAAGUGCUGAAAGCAUCUAAGCACGAAACUUGCCCCGAGAUGAGUUCUCCCUGAGACUUAGAGUCUCCUGAAGGAACGUUGAAGACGACGACGUUGAUAGGCCGGGUGUGUAAGCGCAGCGAUGCGUUGAGCUAACCGGUACUAAUGAACCGUGAGGCUUAACCUUACA
This 1649-nucleotide ribosomal RNA is filed under the name Salmonella enterica subsp. enterica serovar Kimuenza. Its description in RNAcentral is "partial 23S ribosomal RNA". It matches the Rfam family "Bacterial large subunit ribosomal RNA", at positions 1301 to 2925 of the family's 2925-position model. Lineage: Bacteria; Pseudomonadati; Pseudomonadota; Gammaproteobacteria; Enterobacterales; Enterobacteriaceae. The record is from RNAcentral.